RNAcentral lists this ribosomal RNA (468 nucleotides) under uncultured bacterium. RNAcentral describes it as "partial 16S ribosomal RNA". It matches the Rfam family "Bacterial small subunit ribosomal RNA", at positions 28 to 507 of the family's 1533-position model. The record is from RNAcentral.
GACGAACGCUGGCGGCGUGCUUAACACAUGCAAGUCGAACGGAAAGGCCCUGCUUUUGUGGGGUGCUCGAGUGGCGAACGGGUGAGUAACACGUGAGUAACCUGCCCUUGACUUUGGGAUAACUUCAGGAAACUGGGGCUAAUACCGGAUAGGAGCUCCUGCUGCAUGGUGGGGGUUGGAAAGUGUCGGCGGUUGGGGCUGGACUCGCGGCUUAUCAGCUUGUUGGUGGGGUAGUGGCUUACCAAGGCUUUGACGGGUAGCCGGCCUGAGAGGGUGACCGGCCACAUUGGGACUGAGAUACGGCCCAGACUCCUACGUGAGGCAGCAGUGGGGAAUAUUGCACAAUGGGCGGAAGCCUGAUGCAGCAACGCCGCGUGCGGGAUGCCGGCCUUCGGGUUGUAAACCGCUUUCGCCUGUGCCGAAGCGUGAGUGACGGUAAUGGGUAAAGAAGCACCGGCUAACUACGUG